Molecule: ribosomal RNA, 1418 nt
Filed under: Staphylococcus saprophyticus
Lineage: Bacteria; Bacillati; Bacillota; Bacilli; Caryophanales; Staphylococcaceae
Also listed under: 1 other name
Description: bacterial SSU rRNA
Rfam family: Bacterial small subunit ribosomal RNA
Source: RNAcentral
UGCAAGUCGAGCGAACAGAUAAGGAGCUUGCUCCUUUGACGUUAGCGGCGGACGGGUGAGUAACACGUGGGUAACCUACCUAUAAGACUGGGAUAACUUCGGGAAACCGGAGCUAAUACCGGAUAACAUUUGGAACCGCAUGGUUCUAAAGUGAAAGAUGGUUUUGCUAUCACUUAUAGAUGGACCCGCGCCGUAUUAGCUAGUUGGUAAGGUAACGGCUUACCAAGGCGACGAUACGUAGCCGACCUGAGAGGGUGAUCGGCCACACUGGAACUGAGACACGGUCCAGACUCCUACGGGAGGCAGCAGUAGGGAAUCUUCCGCAAUGGGCGAAAGCCUGACGGAGCAACGCCGCGUGAGUGAUGAAGGGUUUCGGCUCGUAAAACUCUGUUAUUAGGGAAGAACAAAUGUGUAAGUAACUGUGCACGUCUUGACGGUACCUAAUCAGAAAGCCACGGCUAACUACGUGCCAGCAGCCGCGGUAAUACGUAGGUGGCAAGCGUUAUCCGGAAUUAUUGGGCGUAAAGCGCGCGUAGGCGGUUUCUUAAGUCUGAUGUGAAAGCCCACGGCUCAACCGUGGAGGGUCAUUGGAAACUGGGAAACUUGAGUGCAGAAGAGGAAAGUGGAAUUCCAUGUGUAGCGGUGAAAUGCGCAGAGAUAUGGAGGAACACCAGUGGCGAAGGCGACUUUCUGGUCUGUAACUGACGCUGAUGUGCGAAAGCGUGGGGAUCAAACAGGAUUAGAUACCCUGGUAGUCCACGCCGUAAACGAUGAGUGCUAAGUGUUAGGGGGUUUCCGCCCCUUAGUGCUGCAGCUAACGCAUUAAGCACUCCGCCUGGGGAGUACGACCGCAAGGUUGAAACUCAAAGGAAUUGACGGGGACCCGCACAAGCGGUGGAGCAUGUGGUUUAAUUCGAAGCAACGCGAAGAACCUUACCAAAUCUUGACAUCCUUUGAAAACUCUAGAGAUAGAGCCUUCCCCUUCGGGGGACAAAGUGACAGGUGGUGCAUGGUUGUCGUCAGCUCGUGUCGUGAGAUGUUGGGUUAAGUCCCGCAACGAGCGCAACCCUUAAGCUUAGUUGCCAUCAUUAAGUUGGGCACUCUAGGUUGACUGCCGGUGACAAACCGGAGGAAGGUGGGGAUGACGUCAAAUCAUCAUGCCCCUUAUGAUUUGGGCUACACACGUGCUACAAUGGACAAUACAAAGGGCAGCUAAACCGCGAGGUCAUGCAAAUCCCAUAAAGUUGUUCUCAGUUCGGAUUGUAGUCUGCAACUCGACUACAUGAAGCUGGAAUCGCUAGUAAUCGUAGAUCAGCAUGCUACGGUGAAUACGUUCCCGGGUCUUGUACACACCGCCCGUCACACCACGAGAGUUUGUAACACCCGAAGCCGGUGGAGUAACCAUUUAUGGAGCUAGC